RNAcentral lists this non-coding RNA (55 nucleotides) under unclassified sequences. RNAcentral describes it as "L31-Gammaproteobacteria ribosomal protein leader". It matches the Rfam family "L31-Gammaproteobacteria ribosomal protein leader". The record is from RNAcentral.
CGCGUGGUGUCCGACGGAAAACACGGUUGGAUAGCGACGCGGCCUAAACAGAGGU